ACGCUGGCGGCAGGCCUAACACAUGCAAGUCGAGCGGUAGAGAGAAGCUUGCUUCUCUUGAGAGCGGCGACGGGUGAGUAAUGCCUAGGAAUCUGCCUGGUAGUGGGGGAUAACGUCCGGAAACGGACGCUAAUACCGCAUACGUCCUACGGGAGAAAGCAGGGGACCUUCGGGCCUUGCGCUAUCAGAUGAGCCUAGGUCGGAUUAGCUAGUUGGUGGGGUAAUGGCUCACCAAGGCGACGAUCCGUAACUGGUCUGAGAGGAUGAUCAGUCACACUGGAACUGAGACACGGUCCAGACUCCUACGGGAGGCAGCAGUGGGGAAUAUUGGACAAUGGGCGAAGGCCUGAUCCAGCCAUGCCGCGUGUGUGAAGAAGGUCUUCGGAUUGUAAAGCACUUUAAGUUGGGAGGAAGGGCAGUUACCUAAUACGUGAUUGUUUUGACGUUACCGACAGAAUAAGCACCGGCUAACUCUGUGCCAGCAGCCGCGGUAAUACAGAGGGUGCAAGCGUUAAUCGGAAUUACUGGGCGUAAAGCGCGCGUAGGUGGUUCGUUAAGUUGGAUGUGAAAUCCCCGGGCUCAACCUGGGAACUGCAUUCAAAACUGACGAGCUAGAGUAUGGUAGAGGGUGGUGGAAUUUCCUGUGUAGCGGUGAAAUGCGUAGAUAUAGGAAGGAACACCAGUGGCGAAGGCGACCACCUGGACUGAUACUGACACUGAGGUGCGAAAGCGUGGGGAGCAAAC
Molecule: ribosomal RNA, 744 nt
Filed under: uncultured bacterium
Lineage: Bacteria
Description: bacterial SSU rRNA
Rfam family: Bacterial small subunit ribosomal RNA
Source: RNAcentral